RNAcentral lists this ribosomal RNA (310 nucleotides) under uncultured Glomus. RNAcentral's name for it is "partial 18S ribosomal RNA". Lineage: Eukaryota; Fungi; Glomeromycota; Glomeromycetes; Glomerales; Glomeraceae. The record is from RNAcentral.
CGUAAGGCGCCGAAUGAGUCAUUAAAAAUUAACAUCAUCCGAUCCCUAGUCGGCAUAGUUUAUGGUUAAGACUACGACGGUAUCUGAUCGUCUUCGAUCCCCUAACUUUCGUUCUUGAUUAAUGAAAACAUCCUUGGCAAAUGCUUUUCGCAGUAGUUAGUCUUCAAUAAAUCCAAGAAUUUCACCUCUGACAAUUGAAUACUAAUGCCCCCAACUAUCCCUAUUAAUCAUUACGUCAAUCCUAAGAAACCAACAAAAUAGGAUCGAACGUCCUAUUUCAUUAUUCCAUGCUAAUGUAUUCAAGCGUUAG